CAGCCGCCGCGGGAAUACAAAGGGUGCGAGCGUUAAUCGGAUUUACUGGGCGUAAAGCGUGCGUAGGCGGCUUCUUAAGUCGGAUGUGAAAUCCCUGAGCUUAACUUAGGAAUUGCAUUCGAUACUGGGAAGCUAGAGUAUGGGAGAGGAUGGUAGAAUUCCAGGUGUAGCGGUGAAAUGCGUAGAGAUCUGGUGGAAUACCGAUGGCGAAGGCAGCCAUCUGGCCUAAUACUGACGCUGAGGUACGAAAGCAUGGGGAGCAAACAGGAUUAGAUACCCCGGUAGUCCCUGUCUCUUAUAC
RNAcentral lists this ribosomal RNA (301 nucleotides) under uncultured bacterium. Its description in RNAcentral is "partial 16S ribosomal RNA". It matches the Rfam family "Bacterial small subunit ribosomal RNA", at positions 509 to 807 of the family's 1533-position model. The record is from RNAcentral.